UAUUAUGAGAGUUUGAUCCUGGCUCAGGACGAACGCUGGCGGCGUGCCUAAUACAUGCAAGUCGAACGCUUCUUUCCUCCCGAGUGCUUGCGCUCAAUUGGAAAGAGGAGUGGCGGACGGGUGAGUAACACGUGGGUAACCUACCCAUCAGAGGGGGAUAACACUUGGAAACAGGUGCUAAUACCGCAUAACAGUUUAUGCCGCAUGGCAUAAGAGUGAAAGGCGCUUUCGGGUGUCACUGAUGGAUGGACCCGCGGUGCAUUAGCUAGUUGGUGAGGUAACGGCUCACCAAGGCCACGAUGCAUAGCCGACCUGAGAGGGUGAUCGGCCACACUGGGACUGAGACACGGCCCAGACUCCUACGGGAGGCAGCAGUAGGGAAUCUUCGGCAAUGGACGAAAGUCUGACCGAGCAACGCCGCGUGAGUGAAGAAGGUUUUCGGAUCGUAAAACUCUGUUGUUAGAGAAGAACAAGGACGUUAGUAACUGAACGUCCCCUGACGGUAUCUAACCAGAAAGCCACGGCUAACUACGUGCCAGCAGCCGCGGUAAUACGUAGGUGGCAAGCGUUGUCCGGAUUUAUUGGGCGUAAAGCGAGCGCAGGCGGUUUCUUAAGUCUGAUGUGAAAGCCCCCGGCUCAAC
This 641-nucleotide ribosomal RNA is filed under the name Enterococcus sp. RNAcentral describes it as "bacterial SSU rRNA". It matches the Rfam family "Bacterial small subunit ribosomal RNA", at positions 1 to 613 of the family's 1533-position model. Lineage: Bacteria; Bacillati; Bacillota; Bacilli; Lactobacillales; Enterococcaceae. The record is from RNAcentral.